CCUACGGGUGGCAGCAGUGAGGAAUAUUGGUCAAUGGGCGCAAGCCUGAACCAGCCAAGUAGCGUGAAGGAUGACGGCCCUACGGGUGGUAAACUUCUUUUAUAAGGAAGUAAAGUGAGGCACGUGUGCCUUUUUGUAUGUACUUUAUGAAUAAGGAUCGGCUAACUCCGUGCCAGCAGCCACGGUAAUACGGAGGAUCCGAGCGUUAUACGGAUUUGUUGGGUUUAAAGGGAGCGUAGGCGGGUUGUUAAGUCAGUUGUGAAAGUUUGCGGCUCAACCGUGAAAUUGCAGUUGAUACUGGAAGACUUGAGUACAGUUGAGGUAGGCGGAAUUCGUGGUGUAGCGGUGAAAUGCUUAGAUAUCACGAAGAACACCGAUUGCGAAGGCAGCUUACUAAACUGCAACUGACAUUGAUGCUCGAAAGCGUGGGUAUCAAACAGGAUUAGAUACCCCUGUAGUC
RNAcentral lists this ribosomal RNA (460 nucleotides) under uncultured bacterium. RNAcentral describes it as "partial 16S ribosomal RNA". It matches the Rfam family "Bacterial small subunit ribosomal RNA", at positions 338 to 795 of the family's 1533-position model. The record is from RNAcentral.